This 253-nucleotide ribosomal RNA is filed under the name uncultured bacterium. RNAcentral describes it as "partial 16S ribosomal RNA". It matches the Rfam family "Bacterial small subunit ribosomal RNA", at positions 524 to 776 of the family's 1533-position model. The record is from RNAcentral.
UACAGAGGUCUCAAGCGUUGUUCGGAUUCAUUGGGCGUAAAGGGUGCGUAGGCGGCGCGGUAAGUCGGGUGUGAAAUCUUGGAGCUUAACUCCGAAACUGCAUUCGAUACUGCCGUGCUUGAGGACUGGAGAGGAGACUGGAAUUUACGGUGUAGCGGUGAAAUGCGUAGAUAUCGUAAGGAACACCGGUGGCGAAGGCGGUUCUCUGGGCAUGUCCUGACGCUGAGGAGCGAAAGUGUGGGGAGCGAACAGG